UGGGGAAUUUUGGACAAUGGGCGAAAGCCUGAUCCAGCAAUGCCGCGUGUGUGAAGAAGGCCUUCGGGUUGUAAAGCACUUUUGUCCGGAAAGAAAUCCUUGGCUCUAAUACAGUCGGGGGAUGACGGUACCGGAAGAAUAAGCACCGGCUAACUACGUGCCAGCAGCCGCGGUAAUACGUAGGGUGCAAGCGUUAAUCGGAAUUACUGGGCGUAAAGCGUGCGCAGGCGGUUUGCUAAGACCGAUGUGAAAUCCCCGGGCUCAACCUGGGAACUGCAUUGGUGACUGGCAGGCUAGAGUAUGGCAGAGGGGGGUAGAAUUCCACGUGUAGCAGUGAAAUGCGUAGAGAUGUGGAGGAAUACCGAUAGCGAAGGCAGCCCCCUGGGCCAAUACUGACGCUCAUGCACGAAAGCGUGGGGAGCAAACAGGAUUAGAUACCCUGGUAGUCCACGCCCUAAACGAUGUCAACUAGUUGUUGGGGAUUCAUUUCCUUAGUAACGUAGCUAACGCGUGAAGUUGACCGCCUGGGGAGUACGGUCGCAAGAUUAAAACUC
This 554-nucleotide ribosomal RNA is filed under the name uncultured bacterium. RNAcentral's name for it is "partial 16S ribosomal RNA". It matches the Rfam family "Bacterial small subunit ribosomal RNA", at positions 355 to 902 of the family's 1533-position model. The record is from RNAcentral.